RNAcentral lists this ribosomal RNA (497 nucleotides) under uncultured bacterium. RNAcentral's name for it is "partial 16S ribosomal RNA". It matches the Rfam family "Bacterial small subunit ribosomal RNA", at positions 28 to 507 of the family's 1533-position model. The record is from RNAcentral.
GAUGAACGCUGGCGGCGUGCCUAAUACAUGCAAGUCGAGCGAACAGACGAGGAGCUUGCUCCUCUGACGUUAGCGGCGGACGGGUGAGUAACACGUGGAUAACCUACCUAUAAGACUGGGAUAACUUCGGGAAACCGGAGCUAAUACCGGAUAAUAUAUUGAACCGCAUGGUUCAAUAGUGAAAGACGGUUUUGCUGUCACUUAUAGAUGGAUCCGCGCCGCAUUAGCUAGUUGGUAAGGUAACGGCUUACCAAGGCAACGAUGCGUAGCCGACCUGAGAGGGUGAUCGGCCACACUGGAACUGAUACACGGUCCAGACUCCUACGGGAGGCAGCAGUAGGGAAUCUUCCGCAAUGGGCGAAGGCCUGACGGAGCAACGCCGCGUGAGUGAUGAAGGUCUUCGGAUCGUAAAACUCUGUUAUUAGGGAAGAACAAAUGUGUAAGUAACUAUGCACGUCUUGACGGUACCUAAUCAGAAAGCCACGGCUAACUACGUG